This 306-nucleotide unclassified non-coding RNA is filed under the name plant metagenome. RNAcentral describes it as "partial contains 5.8S ribosomal RNA, internal transcribed spacer 2, and large subunit ribosomal RNA". The stretch from base 1 to 105 matches the Rfam family "5.8S ribosomal RNA", at positions 50 to 154 of the family's 154-position model. The record is from RNAcentral.
GAAAUGCGAUAAGUAAUGUGAAUUGCAGAAUUCAGUGAAUCAUCGAAUCUUUGAACGCACAUUGCGCCCGCCAGUAUUCUGGCGGGCAUGCCUGUCCGAGCGUCAUUUCAACCACCAAGCCCCCGGGCUUGUGUUGGGGACCUGCGGCUGCCCGCAGGCCCUGAAAACCAGUGGCGGGCUCGCUGUCACACCGAGCGUAGUAGCAAUCACCUCGCUCAGGGCGUGCUGCGGGUUCCGGCCGUUAAACAACCUUACAAAACCCAAGGUUGACCUCGGAUCAGGUAGGAAGACCCGCUGAACUUAAGC